GUUCCACAGGUUCCAGUUGACUUCCUCCACACUGAAAGAAAGAGGACACAUGCAUUGACAGUAAUCAGAUCAAUACAGAUCUUGUGGUUUCGGGUGGAAGCCAGUGGGGUCACCUGAAGCACCAGCGUCGAUCAGGCUCCUGCUCCCCGCCUAGAUCCUUCUCUUCCCCGGAGCGCAGCUUUGUCUUCAGACAGCGGGGAAGAAUCCACUCCAUGUCCAAGUUUCCAGAUGCUGGUGCUCUCUACAGACAUCUCCUCCACUCUUUGAUUCAUCAGAGCGAUCACCAUGUUCAGCAUCAAAAUGUAAGUCAUCACUAUAUACAAUAUUAGCAGCACAUAGAAGACCUCUAUAUACUGAAACUGAUCGGUG
Carassius gibelio (silver crucian carp) is the source of this 369-nucleotide long non-coding RNA. RefSeq lists it as uncharacterized. NCBI's taxonomy places the organism in Eukaryota, Metazoa, Chordata, Actinopteri, Cypriniformes, Cyprinidae. The record is from RefSeq and is a predicted model, not a curated record. The transcript has 3 exons.